This 1372-nucleotide ribosomal RNA is filed under the name uncultured bacterium. Its description in RNAcentral is "bacterial SSU rRNA". It matches the Rfam family "Bacterial small subunit ribosomal RNA", at positions 28 to 1381 of the family's 1533-position model. The record is from RNAcentral.
GAUGAACGCUGGCGGCGUGCCUAAUACAUGCAAGUCGAGCGAACGGACGAGAAGCUUGCUUCUCUGAUGUUAGCGGCGGACGGGUGAGUAACACGUGGAUAACCUACCUAUAAGACUGGGAUAACUUCGGGAAACCGUAGCUAAUACCGGAUAAUAUUUUGAACCGCAUGGUUCAAAAGUGAAAGACGGUCUUGCUGUCACUUAUAGAUGGAUCCGCGCUGCAUUAGCUAGUUGGUAAGGUAACGGCUUACCAAGGCAACGAUGCAUAGCCGACCUGAGAGGGUGAUCGGCCACACUGGAACUGAGACACGGUCCAGACUCCUACGGGAGGCAGCAGUAGGGAAUCUUCCGCAAUGGGCGAAAGCCUGACGGAGCAACGCCGCGUGAGUGAUGAAGGUCUUCGGAUCGUAAAACUCUGUUAUUAGGGAAGAACAUAUGUGUAAGUAACUGUGCACAUCUUGACGGUACCUAAUCAGAAAGCCACGGCUAACUACGUGCCAGCAGCCGCGGUAAUACGUAGGUGGCAAGCGUUAUCCGGAAUUAUUGGGCGUAAAGCGCGCGUAGGCGGUUUUUUAAGUCUGAUGUGAAAGCCCACGGCUCAACCGUGGAGGGUCAUUGGAAACUGGAAAACUUGAGUGCAGAAGAGGAAAGUGGAAUUCCAUGUGUAGCGGUGAAAUGCGCGGAGAUAUGGAGGAACACCAGUGGCGAAGGCGACUUUCUGGUCUGUAACUGACGCUGAUGUGCGAAAGCGUGGGGAUCAAACAGGAUUAGAUACCCUGGUAGUCCACGCCGUAAACGAUGAGUGCUAAGUGUUAGGGGGUUUCCGCCCCUUAGUGCUGCAGCUAACGCAUUAAGCACUCCGCCUGGGGAGUACGACCGCAAGGUUGAAACUCAAAGGAAUUGACGGGGACCCGCACAAGCGGUGGAGCAUGUGGUUUAAUUCGAAGCAACGCGAAGAACCUUACCAAAUCUUGACAUCCUUUGACAACUCUAGAGAUAGAGCCUUCCCCUUCGGGGGACAAAGUGACAGGUGGUGCAUGGUUGUCGUCAGCUCGUGUCGUGAGAUGUUGGGUUAAGUCCCGCAACGAGCGCAACCCUCAAGCUUAGUUGCCAUCAUUAAGUUGGGCACUCUAAGUUGACUGCCGGUGACAAACCGGAGGAAGGUGGGGAUGACGUCAAAUCAUCAUGCCCCUUAUGAUUUGGGCUACACACGUGCUACAAUGGACAAUACAAAGGGCAGCGAAACCGCGAGGUCAAGCAAAUCCCAUAAAGUUGUUCUCAGUUCGGAUUGUAGUCUGCAACUCGACUACAUGAAGCUGGAAUCGCUAGUAAUCGUAGAUCAGCAUGCUACGGUGAAUACGUUCCCGGGUCU